CGGAAGUGCCUUUCGAAGUUGUGCCGAUAAGUGCGUAAGGAACACUCAUCAUCGCAGCUCAGAAGGCACUUUCCUUAUAUCGACACCCGCCUAUCCAGGCUUUCCAUCGGUGGAUCGAG
This 119-nucleotide small RNA is filed under the name Mycolicibacterium smegmatis MC2 155. Its description in RNAcentral is "Mycobacterium smegmatis str. MC2 155 Actinobacteria sRNA Ms_IGR-7". It matches the Rfam family "Actinobacteria sRNA Ms_IGR-7". Lineage: Bacteria; Bacillati; Actinomycetota; Actinomycetes; Mycobacteriales; Mycobacteriaceae. The record is from Rfam by way of RNAcentral.